This is an unclassified non-coding RNA of Chelonoidis abingdonii (Abingdon island giant tortoise), 179 nucleotides long. The record is from Ensembl. NCBI's taxonomy places the organism in Eukaryota, Metazoa, Chordata, Testudines, Testudinidae.
UUGACAGCCCUUGAGGGUCAUUUUUUCCAUUUACCAAUAGAAUAAGUUCAGUAGUGGUUGCAAUAGUGUCAGCUACCUCAUGCUAGCCUAGCCAAUGUGCCCUAACCCUGACCACGAGGAAACACCUUUAAGAGUGAGAGAGUAGUUCAGUUUCCAGGCCCACUUGUUUUUCCAUCUCU